RNAcentral lists this ribosomal RNA (1510 nucleotides) under Helicobacter pylori. RNAcentral's name for it is "bacterial SSU rRNA". It matches the Rfam family "Bacterial small subunit ribosomal RNA". The record is from RNAcentral. Lineage: Bacteria; Pseudomonadati; Campylobacterota; Epsilonproteobacteria; Campylobacterales; Helicobacteraceae.
UUUUAUGGAGAGUUUGAUCCUGGCUCAGAGUGAACGCUGGCGGCGUGCCUAAUACAUGCAAGUCGAACGAUGAAGCUUCUAGCUUGCUAGAAUGCUGAUUAGUGGCGCACGGGUGAGUAACGCAUAGGUCAUGUGCCUCUUAGUUUGGGAUAGCCAUUGGAAACGAUGAUUAAUACCAGAUACUCCCUACGGGGGAAAGAUUUAUCGCUAAGAGAUCAGCCUAUGUCCUAUCAGCUUGUUGGUAAGGUAAUGGCUUACCAAGGCUAUGACGGGUAUCCGGCCUGAGAGGGUGAACGGACACACUGGAACUGAGACACGGUCCAGACUCCUACGGGAGGCAGCAGUAGGGAAUAUUGCUCAAUGGGGGAAACCUUGAAGCAGCAACGCCGCGUGGAGGAUGAAGGUUUUAGGAUUGUAAACUCCUUUUGUUAGAGAAGAUAAUGACGGUAUCUAACGAAUAAGCACCGGCUAACUCCGUGCCAGCAGCCGCGGUAAUACGGAGGGUGCAAGCGUUACUCGGAAUCACUGGGCGUAAAGAGCGCGUAGGCGGGAUAGUCAGUCAGGUGUGAAAUCCUAUGGCUUAACCAUAGAACUGCAUUUGAAACUACUAUUCUAGAGUGUGGGAGAGGUAGGUGGAAUUCUUGGUGUAGGGGUAAAAUCCGUAGAGAUCAAGAGGAAUACUCAUUGCGAAGGCGACCUGCUGGAACAUUACUGACGCUGAUUGCGCGAAAGCGUGGGGAGCAAACAGGAUUAGAUACCCUGGUAGUCCACGCCCUAAACGAUGGAUGCUAGUUGUUGGAGGGCUUAGUCUCUCCAGUAAUGCAGCUAACGCAUUAAGCAUCCCGCCUGGGGAGUACGGUCGCAAGAUUAAAACUCAAAGGAAUAGACGGGGACCCGCACAAGCGGUGGAGCAUGUGGUUUAAUUCGAAGAUACACGAAGAACCUUACCUAGGCUUGACAUUGAGAGAAUCCGCUAGAAAUAGUGGAGUGUCUGGCUUGCCAGACCUUGAAAACAGGUGCUGCACGGCUGUCGUCAGCUCGUGUCGUGAGAUGUUGGGUUAAGUCCCGCAACGAGCGCAACCCCCUUUCUUAGUUGCUAACAGGUCAUGCUGAGAACUCUAAGGAUACUGCCUCCGUAAGGAGGAGGAAGGUGGGGACGACGUCAAGUCAUCAUGGCCCUUACGCCUAGGGCUACACACGUGCUACAAUGGGGUGCACAAAGAGAAGCAAUACUGCGAAGUGGAGCCAAUCUUCAAAACACCUCUCAGUUCGGAUUGUAGGCUGCAACUCGCCUGCAUGAAGCUGGAAUCGCUAGUAAUCGCAAAUCAGCCAUGUUGCGGUGAAUACGUUCCCGGGUCUUGUACUCACCGCCCGUCACACCAUGGGAGUUGUGUUUGCCUUAAGUCAGGAUGCUAAAUUGGCUACUGCCCACGGCACACACAGCGACUGGGGUGAAGUCGUAACAAGGUAACCGUAGGUGAACCUGCGGUUGGAUCACCUCCUUUCUAGA